AUACCAAACUGUUGCCUCGGCGGGGUCACGCCCCGGGUGCGUCGCAGCCCCGGAACCAGGCGCCCGCCGGAGGGACCAACCAAACUCUUUCUGUAGUCCCCUCGCGGACGUUAUUUCUUACAGCUCUGAGCAAAAAUUCAAAAUGAAUCAAAACUUUCAACAACGGAUCUCUUGGUUCUGGCAUCGAUGAAGAACGCAGCGAAAUGCGAUAAGUAAUGUGAAUUGCAGAAUUCAGUGAAUCAUCGAAUCUUUGAACGCACAUUGCGCCCGCCAGUAUUCUGGCGGGCAUGCCUGUCCGAGCGUCAUUUCAACCCUCGAACCCCUCCGGGGGGUCGGCGUUGGGGAUCGGGAACCCCUAAGACGGGAUCCCGGCCCCGAAAUACAGUGGCGGUCUCGCCGCAGCCUCUCCUGCGCAGUAGUUUGCACAACUCGCACCGGGAGCGCGGCGCGUCCACGUCCGUAAAACACCCAACUUUCUGAAAUGUUGACCUCGGAUCAGGUAGGAAUACCCGCUGAACUUAAGCAUAUCAAUAAGGCGGA
RNAcentral lists this ribosomal RNA (540 nucleotides) under Trichoderma ovalisporum. RNAcentral's name for it is "eukaryotic LSU rRNA". The stretch from base 152 to 305 matches the Rfam family "5.8S ribosomal RNA". The record is from RNAcentral. Lineage: Eukaryota; Fungi; Ascomycota; Sordariomycetes; Hypocreales; Hypocreaceae.